This 1233-nucleotide long non-coding RNA is filed under the name Homo sapiens (human). RNAcentral describes it as "long intergenic non-protein coding RNA 665". Lineage: Eukaryota; Metazoa; Chordata; Mammalia; Primates; Hominidae. The record is from RNAcentral.
GUAUUGUCUCCAGAUUAAAGGUACGACAUUUGGAGGCCCCAGCGAGAAACGUCACCGGGAGAAACGUCACCGGGCGAGAGCCGGGCCCGCUGUGUGCUCCCCCGGAAGGACAGCCAGCUUGUAGGGGGGAGUGCCACCUGAAAAAAAAAUUUCCAGGUCCCCAAAGGGUGACCGUCUUCCGGAGGACAGCGGAUCGACUACCAUGUGGGUGCCCACAAAAAUUCCACCUCUGAGUCCUCAACUGCUGACCCCGGGGUCAGUACCUACAGUCUCCCCAACAGGUACAAGAUAUCAUCCUGCCACUUGUUCGAGGAACCCAUCCCAAUCCAAUUCCUGAACAGACAGGGCCCUGCCAUUCAUUCCCGCCAGGUGACCUGUUGUUUGUUAAAAAGUUCCAGAGAGAAGGACUCCCUCCUGCUUGGAAGAGACCUCACACCGUCAUCACGAUGCCAACGGCUCUGAAGGUGGAUGGCAUUCCUGCGUGGAUUCAUCACUCCCGCAUCAAAAAGGCCAACGGAGCCCAACUAGAAACAUGGGUCCCCAGGGCUGGGUCAGGCCCCUUAAAACUGCACCUAAGUUGGGUGAAGCCAUUAGAUUAAUUCUUUUUCUUAAUUUUGUAAAACAAUGCAUAGCUUCUGUCAAACUUAUGUAUCUUAAGACUCAAUAUAACCCCCUUGUUAUAACUGAGGAAUCAAUGAUUUGAUUCCCCAAAAACACAAGUGGGGAAUGUAGUGUCCAACCUGGUUUUUACUAACCCUGUUUUUAGACUCUCCCUUUCCUUUAAUCACUCAGCCUUGUUUCCACCUGAAUUGACUCUCCCUUAGCUAAGAGCGCCAGAUGGACUCCAUCUUGGCUCUUUCACUGGCAGCCGCUUCCUCAAGGACUUAACUUGUGCAAGCUGACUCCCAGCACAUCCAAGAAUGCAAUUAACUGAUAAGAUACUGUGGCAAGCUAUAUCCGCAGUUCCCAGGAAUUCGUCCAAUUGAUUACACCCAAAAGCCCCGCGUCUAUCACCUUGUAAUAAUCUUAAAGCCCCUGCACCUGGAACUAUUAACGUUCCUGUAACCAUUUAUCCUUUUAACUUUUUUGCCUACUUUAUUUCUGUAAAAUUGUUUUAACUAGACCCCCCCUCUCCUUUCUAAACCAAAGUAUAAAAGCAAAUCUAGCCCCUUCUUCAGGCCGAGAGAAUUUCGAGCGUUAGCCGUCUCUUGGCCACCAGCUAAAUAAACGGAU